Molecule: long non-coding RNA, 2281 nt
Filed under: Homo sapiens (human)
Lineage: Eukaryota; Metazoa; Chordata; Mammalia; Primates; Hominidae
Description: HSALNT0101971
Source: RNAcentral
UGCUGUCACCUUUCAGUUUCUAUGAUAAACCAUGCACCCUGACUUCGCUUGGGUAGAAAUCCUGAUUGCAUCACCUUUCCCCACAUUUCAGACUACUUACUCUCCCCAUAAGCACUCUCAAGCCCAUUUUAGGUUAGUAGAGUUUAAUUUUGUUUUUCCAUCUCCGCACAGCAGUCUCAUGAAUAACAUCUUUUUUCUUUAGCAAAAACCGGUUGUGUAACUGCCGGCGGGUUCGUGCUUUCUCUAACUUCAAAAAGCCGCGGACCUUCACAGUACAGGGUGUUGAUUGGUGCGUUUUACAAUCCUCUUGCAAGACAGAAAAGUUCUCCAAGUUUCCACUGGACCCAGGAAGUCCAGCUGGCUUCACCUCUCACCAUGGCCACAUUGGCUCCUAGCAUGCAGGCAGAACGAAUCUGUUCACUAACAAUGGGACUACUGCUACAAACAUGGUCCAUCAUUCACUGAGUCACUGUUUUGUGGCACAUUACUGUACAUACUGCUGUGGCCUAAGUAAGUCAACCAAACAAAAUAGCAGGCUAAACCUGUCAGUCAAAAUGUGGGGCAUUCCUGGGGCAGGCCCCCUGCAGCAGAUAGUCUGGGACUUACUGAAGUGUUAUUCAGAGUCUUGUUACUCAACCCACCGAAGAAGGGAGGUGAAUGUGAAAAAUAAUCUGUAGAUCUUCACAAUGUCUCUAGGGCUUGGAUCUGGGAAUUGACGUUGUAGAAGAGGCUGACCUCCAAAAAGACAAGAUUUCUUAUGUCCACUCCUUUUCUAAGUCAAAGCUUAUGAACAAAUUGGAACACAAGUGAUUGUGAACCACUACUGUCACCCGUCUUUUUGCAAAACUUAUUUUUUGAGCCCAAGAGAUUCUUCCCAGGCAUGUUUUUCCUCUUAAAUUAAAAAAAAAAAAAAAAAAAAAAAAAAAACUGUUCUGUAGGAAAUCUAAUCCAUAUGUUUGUUUCCUUUAGUCAUCAAACUGAUGCCUGGUUAAUGGGAGUUCAUGACCAAAUACUUUUCCAUUAAAACAGGAAAUUAUUUUUUGUUCACCGUAAACAAAUUAAAACUCCAGAGAUGUUUGAAUCUCCUUUGAAGUGUGCUGCCCUUAAGCUUUUUCUUCUUUUUUUUUUUCUUUUUUUUGAGACGAAGUCUUGCUCUUGUCCCCUAGGCUAGAGUGCAAUGGCGCCAUCUCGGCUCAGUGCAACCUCUGCCUCCUGGGGCUCAAACAAUUCUCCUGCCUCAGCCUACCUAGUAGCUGGGAUUACAGGCAUGCGCCACCACACCAGGCUAAUUUUUGCAUUUUUUAGUAGAGACGGGGUUUCACCAUGUUGGCCAGGCUGGUCUCUAACUCCUGACUUCAAGUGAUCCCCACGCUUCGGCUUCCCAAAGUGCUGGGAUUACAGGCACCCAGCUAAACUUCAAGAGCGAUCUAAACUAAAAUAAGCAUUUCCUAAGCCAUGCUUUCAAUCUCAUGCUUGGCUUUUAGAGCUCCUUGUUAUAUACAAGCCAUAUACUGAGCAUCAGGAACAAAAGGUAAUACUGAAGCCACAAGAAAAUUAGUCAACCUUGUUCGUCUUGUUAAUUAACUCUUUAAAAUCCUACAGAGCAAUUUGAGGACUAGCUGUUCAUGCCAUUCAUGAAAACUGAUUGAAACCUUUACCACCACCUAGAGGUCAUUAAACUGUACUGCAAAAACAAGAAAAAAUGUUACUAAAGUGGCGCUGUAAAUUCUCAGGCAUUUUAUGAUUUUUCCAUUACCACACCAAACUUACAUAAUACUGGAUCCUUGGGAGAAGUAAAUGAUCUUCAUAAAAGAGGCACUUUUUAAACUCCCAAACAUAGAGUAAGUCAAGGAAUGGGAAAGAACAGCUGGGAAAACAGGUUGUUUCAAGAAUAUCCCUUCCUUGAGCUAAAACUGCCACUUCCUGUACCAGCAACUAGAUUUCGAAGAUGCACAUUCAACACCUGCUCCAGAGAGGCAGCCAUCAAUGCCGCCAUCUUGCUUUCUAGGGGAGAAAGGUUUGGGAGACAAACAGAAGUGAAUAUGCCGCGAUCCAACCUUUCAAUGCCUGUAGAAUUUUGGCGCACCAUUCUUUUUAUCUUGAACCUAGAAUCCUGGCUCAUUCUUGAUAUAUUUAGGUAAGACCAGAGUGAGUCAGAAGAUGCAAAGUUAAUGUCUCCCAUGAUUUCAUUCCCUAUGGAAAAAAAAACUUAGAAAACAUAUCAAAAACUUUCCAUCGGAGACUGAGAGAAAAAUAAAAAGGAAAAAAAUGAACAAAAGAU